UACGUAGGGGGCAAGCGUUGUCCGGAAUCAUUGGGCGUAAAGCGCGUGUAGGCGGCUUGGUAAGUCCGCUCUGAAAGCCCGGGGCUCAACCCCGGGAGGCGGGUGGAUACUGUCAAGCUCGAGUCCGGAAGAGGCGAGUGGAAUUCCUGGUGUAGCGGUGAAAUGCGCAGAUAUCAGGAGGAACACCAAUGGCGAAGGCAGCUCGCUGGGACGUGACUGACGCUGAGACGCGAAAGCGUGGGGAGCAAACAGA
This 253-nucleotide ribosomal RNA is filed under the name uncultured bacterium. Its description in RNAcentral is "partial 16S ribosomal RNA". It matches the Rfam family "Bacterial small subunit ribosomal RNA", at positions 524 to 776 of the family's 1533-position model. The record is from RNAcentral.